Molecule: ribosomal RNA, 269 nt
Filed under: Odontosphaeropyx sp. RK421
Lineage: Eukaryota; Metazoa; Arthropoda; Insecta; Hymenoptera; Braconidae
Description: partial 28S ribosomal RNA
Source: RNAcentral
CACUUUUUCCCUAGUAGAAAGUCGCGACCCGCUGAGGGUUGAUUUGUGGUGUGAAAGAUAGCCUCUGAUAUUGCUUGCAAUAUGGGGAAUUUUGGGAAUCCUGAUCGGCUGCUUGACGGUACUCCACAUGAUAUUGAGUCGCAUUUUUUUGCGUUAAAUCUACUGCAAGGGCGGUUAAUGUUUAGCAGUGUGGAUAUAAUUCCAUCGCUGAUGUUGACCCGCUGUUGGCAAGUAGAAUUCUUUAACUGACUUAUUACCAGUCAGCGAUG